This 372-nucleotide ribosomal RNA is filed under the name uncultured organism. Its description in RNAcentral is "bacterial SSU rRNA". It matches the Rfam family "Bacterial small subunit ribosomal RNA", at positions 526 to 896 of the family's 1533-position model. The record is from RNAcentral.
CAGAGGGGGCAAGCGUUAUUCGGAAUUAUUGGGCGUAAAGGGCGCGUAGGCGGCUUUUCAAGUGACGGGUGAAAUCCCUCGGCUUAACCGAGGAACUGCCUGUCAGACUGGAAGGCUUGAGACCGGGAGAGGUGAGUGGAAUUCCCAGUGUAGCGGUGAAAUGCGUAGAUAUUGGGAGGAACACCAGUGGCGAAGGCGGCUCACUGGACCGGAACAGACGCUGAGGCGCGAAAGCGUGGGGAGCAAACAGGAUUAGAUACCCUGGUAGUCCACGCCGUAAACGAUGAGUGCUUGGUGUAGCGGGUAUCGACCCCUGCUGUGCCGAAGUCAACACAUUAAGCACUCCGCCUGGGGAGUACGGUCGCAAGACUG